CAGCCGCCGCGGUAAUACCGGCGGCCCGAGUGGCGGUCACUAUUAUUGGGCUUAAAGCGUCCGUAGCCGGGUUGGGAAGUCCUCCGGGAAAUCUGGCCGCUUAACGGUCAGAAUGCCGGAGGAUACUCCCAGCCUAGGGGGCGGGAGAGGCCGAGGGGAUUCCCGGGGUAGGGGGGAAAUCCUAUAAUCCCGGGAGGACCACCUGGGGCGAAGGCGCUCGGCUGGAACGCGUCCGACGGGGAGGGACGAAGGCCAGGGGAGCAAACCGGAUUAGAUACCCGGGUAGUCCUGGCUGUAAACGAUGCGGACUUUGUGUCGGACAAGCUAUGAGCUUGUCCGGUGCCGGAGGGAAACCGUUAAGUCCGCCGCCUGGGGAGUACGGCCGCAAGGCUGAAACUUAAAGGAAUUGGCGGG
Molecule: ribosomal RNA, 414 nt
Filed under: uncultured microorganism
Description: bacterial SSU rRNA
Rfam family: Archaeal small subunit ribosomal RNA
Source: RNAcentral